UACGUAGGUGGCGAGCGUUGUCCGGAAUUACUGGGUGUAAAGCGCGUGUAGGCGGGAGGCCAAGUCUGCGGUGAAAUCGCUCGGCUCAACUGGGCGGGGUCCGUGGAAACUGGUCACCUGGAGGACGGUAGAGGCGAGUGGAAUUCCCGGUGUAGUGGUGAAAUGCGUAGAGAUCGGGAGGAACACCAGUGGCGAAGGCGGCUCGCUGGGCCGGACCUGACGCUGAGAGACGAAAGCUAGGGGAGCGAAUGGG
RNAcentral lists this ribosomal RNA (253 nucleotides) under uncultured bacterium. Its description in RNAcentral is "partial 16S ribosomal RNA". It matches the Rfam family "Bacterial small subunit ribosomal RNA", at positions 524 to 776 of the family's 1533-position model. The record is from RNAcentral.